This 560-nucleotide ribosomal RNA is filed under the name Agelas sp. QMG315550. RNAcentral describes it as "eukaryotic LSU rRNA". It matches the Rfam family "Eukaryotic large subunit ribosomal RNA", at positions 682 to 1222 of the family's 3401-position model. The record is from RNAcentral. Lineage: Eukaryota; Metazoa; Porifera; Demospongiae; Agelasida; Agelasidae.
GCAUGCGAGUCUUGGGGGUGGGAAACCCAUCGGCGCAAUGAAAGUGAAGGUAGAUGUUGGUCUACUGAGGCAAGAGCCUCUCAGGAGGCACAUUGUCGACCGAUCCCAGGCUACGCUGUAGUGGGAUUUGAGUGAGAGCGUGCCUGUUGCGACCCGAAAGAUGGUGAACUAUGCCUGAAUAGGGCGAAGCCAGAGGAAACUCUGGUGGAAGCUCGUAGCGAUUCUGACGUGCAAAUCGAUCGUCAAAUUUGGGUAUAGGGGCGAAAGACUAAUCGAACCAUCUAGUAGCUGGUUCCCUCCGAAGUUUCCCUCAGGAUAGCUGGAGCCCGGUGCAGUUUUAUCAGGUAAAGCGAAUGAUUAGAGGUCUUGGGGUUGAAACAACCUCAACCUAUUCUCAAACUUUAAAUGGGUAAGAAGCUCGGCUUGCUUAAUUGAAGUCGGGCCCGGAAUGCCGGGGCUCCUAGUGGGCCAUUUUUGGUAAGCAGAACUGGCGAUGCGGGAUGCACCGAACGCUGGGUUAAGGUGCCCGAGUCGACGCUCAUCAAAAUACCAUGAAAGGU